This 1748-nucleotide long non-coding RNA is filed under the name Homo sapiens (human). RNAcentral's name for it is "non-protein coding lnc-SLC16A3-2:2". Lineage: Eukaryota; Metazoa; Chordata; Mammalia; Primates; Hominidae. The record is from RNAcentral.
CCCGCCCCGCCGGGUUCCGCGCUGCGCCCGGGUCCGAGGGGCGCCCCGGCCGACCCGACCACCGCCGCAGAUCGAAGGAGGGAGCCCGGCCUCCUCACCGGUCAGCGGGGCGACUCCGGACGGGGCUCCGGGCUAUGGGGACGGCGGGUUCCGCCGCGCGAGGCGCCCCCACCUUCGCCGCCCCCGGCCCGGCCGAGGGUCCCCAGGCGCCCGCUUCCUGAGGCCGCCCGGCUCGCGGUCCCGAAGGGUUGACUUGAGCUUUUGCCCUGAGAUGAAGGGAGCACGGGGCGGCCGAGGCUGCCCGUGGGGGUCUGUUCGGGCCGGGGGCGCCACGAAGUCCUGCCUAAGGGUCGGCUGCGGCCACCGGGGCACGAGUUCCCGGCGCUGCCCACGGGCUCGGAGACCGGCGGGGCCCAGGGGCCGUGCGCGCGGUCGCUCAGACCCUGAUUAGGGAACUGGGGGAAGGAGGGGGGUCGGGACCCACCGAGGCCCGAAGUCGCCCCCACCAUCCUGUGGGAACAACAUCCUCAGGCACAGCCAUUCCCAACCAUUCACAUCCUCAGAAAAAGGCACGUGUCCGUAUCCAUCUGCGGAUGGAUGAACAGAGCCCGGCCCCGGGACAGAGCAGCCUGGCUCACCCGAACCCUCAGCCCGCAAUUCUGCGUGGGAGUGGAGGGGGUGUUUGGUGUCUGGGAAUUCCCCUGGUGGGGCAAUAAGCCAGGGGUCUGGUGUCAUCCUCCACCCACAUUGUUAACACUGGAUCACUCCUCUCCGUGCCGUGCCUGCAGCCCAGGCACCCUGCAGCCUGUCCUCCCCGAACCAUGCGUCCUGGUAGAGCUGUCUCCCUCGCCCACAGUCCUCAGUCCCGCCUCACACACCAAACCCUCUUCUGCCUCAGGUCCUUUGCGCCAGUUGCCUCUGCCUAGACUUGGUUCCCUGGAUGCCCCCUCCCCACCCCAUGUGUAUGUCCGGCUCCCUGGACCCACCCCCCACACUGUGUGUCUAGCCCCCUGGACCCACCCCCCACUCUGUGUCUAGUCCCCUGGACUCCCCUCCCCACCCCCUGUGUCUAGCUCCCUGGACCCCCAACCUGGCCCAUGUGUCCAACUCCCAGGACCCCCCCACCCUGUGUCCAGCUCCCUGGUUUCCCCCACCACCCCAUGUGUUUGGCUCCCUGUCCUGCUGCCUUCUCAGUGCUUGUGCACCCCCAGCCUCAUCAGACUUGUCACUCUAUUAGAACAGGAUGUAGGGCCUGGACUGUUGGCUCCCUGCUACCCCCACCCACAGGACAGUGCUGGGGUUGACCCGACUUUGGCUGCACAUUUGACUGGCCCCUGGAUCAGCUCUAGGACUAGAUGUACCCAAAAGGAUGCCCACAUCCUUGCCUCAGCUCCUGCCUCUGCCCACCCAGAGAGCUGCCUUGCCCCCAUGUCCACGAUGCAGCCACCAGGCCUGGGUAAGCGUGGGUGUCCGAGACGGGCUGGGACACCCAGAAGAGGAGCCAGGACUUGCUUGGUCUAAGAGGAAGAGACACCAGGAGUGAGCACACAGAGGAGAGGCCACAUGAGGACGCAGGGAGAGGGUGCCGUCUGCAAGCCAUGGAGAGGCCUCAGGAGGAACCCACCCUGCCGGCAGCCUGAUCCCUGACAUCCAGACUCCGGAAGUGAGAAAAUAAAUGUCGUUUAAGCCGCCCAGGCUGUGGUGUUGAGUUAUGCGGCCCUAGCAGGUCAUUUGUCACGUCAUGGGUA